GACGAACGCUGGCGGCGUGCCUAAUACAUGCAAGUAGAACGCACAGUUUAUACCGUAGCUUGCUACACCAUAAACUGUGAGUUGCGAACGGGUGAGUAACGCGUAGGUAACCUGCCUGGUAGCGGGGGAUAACUAUUGGAAACGAUAGCUAAUACCGCAUAAUAUUGAUUAUUACAUGAUAAUUGAUUGAAAGAUGCUAUUGCAUCACUACCAGAUGGACCUGCGUUGUAUUAGCUAGUAGGUGAGGUAACGGCUCACCUAGGCGACGAUACAUAGCCGACCUGAGAGGGUGAUCGGCCACACUGGGACUGAGACACGGCCCAGACUCCUACGGGAGGCAGCAGUAGGGAAUCUUCGGCAAUGGACGAAAGUCUGACCGAGCAACGCCGCGUGAGUGAAGAAGGUUUUCGGAUCGUAAAGCUCUGUUGUAAGAGAAGAACGGGUGUGAGAGUGGAAAGUUCACACUGUGACGGUAUCUUACCAGAAAGAGACGGCUAACUACGUG
Molecule: ribosomal RNA, 505 nt
Filed under: uncultured bacterium
Lineage: Bacteria
Description: partial 16S ribosomal RNA
Rfam family: Bacterial small subunit ribosomal RNA
Source: RNAcentral